AAAUUUGCACAAAUGGAAUUUGGAAGAUUAAAAUUGCACAAUUGUGGUGCCUGGAGAGCAUAAUCAGGUUUCCAUUUUAAUAUGGUUAUCAAAUGAGAAUAAAAUGUGGUCUAACACCCACCCUCUAUCACUGUGUCUAAAAUUAAUUUUUGUUGUCGCUCAACCCCUUUACAACCAUUAUUCAAUGCCCUUACCAUCUUGCCAUCCUAACAUCUAUCACUUCCAUUGAUUGAUACUACCACUUCACCAUUAGCACAGCUGUUGUCUCCCAUCCAUCGUCACCACUCUAAACUUGCCAUUGCCAAGAGGCACUUUGACCAUGCUUGAUAAAAGAGUUAUUUUAUAUUUAAUAAUUCAUGAUGUAUCAUGCCAUCUACUCCGUCUCAAACAGGGACUAAGAUAUCUGUCUACUGAUAUAUGUGGUGCAUAUCAAACAUUGUGUAUGAUACGAUC
RNAcentral lists this long non-coding RNA (453 nucleotides) under Cicer arietinum (chickpea). RNAcentral's name for it is "long non-coding RNA (CARI_LNC000531)". The record is from RNAcentral. Lineage: Eukaryota; Viridiplantae; Streptophyta; Magnoliopsida; Fabales; Fabaceae.